RNAcentral lists this ribosomal RNA (556 nucleotides) under uncultured Aspergillus. Its description in RNAcentral is "SSU rRNA". It matches the Rfam family "Eukaryotic small subunit ribosomal RNA", at positions 194 to 755 of the family's 1831-position model. Lineage: Eukaryota; Fungi; Ascomycota; Eurotiomycetes; Eurotiales; Aspergillaceae. The record is from RNAcentral.
GGAAGGGAUGUAUUUAUUAGAUAAAAAACCAAUGCCCUUCGGGGCUCCUUGGUGAAUCAUAAUAACUUAACGAAUCGCAUGGCCUUGCGCCGGCGAUGGUUCAUUCAAAUUUCUGCCCUAUCAACUUUCGAUGGUAGGAUAGUGGCCUACCAUGGUGGCAACGGGUAACGGGGAAUUAGGGUUCGAUUCCGGAGAGGGAGCCUGAGGAACGGCUACCACAUCCAAGGAAGGCAGCAGGCGCGCAAAUUACCCAAUCCCGACACGGGGAGGUAGUGACAAUAAAUACUGAUACGGGGCUCUUUUGGGUCUCGUAAUUGGAAUGAGUACAAUCUAAAUCCCUUAACGAGGAACAAUUGGAGGGCAAGUCUGGUGCCAGCAGCCGCGGUAAUUCCAGCUCCAAUAGCGUAUAUUAAAGUUGUUGCAGUUAAAAAGCUCGUAGUUGAACCUUGGGUCUGGCUGGCCGGUCCGCCUCACCGCGAGUACUGGUCCGGCUGGACCUUUCCUUCUGGGGAAUCUCAUGGCCUUCACUGGCUGUGGGGGGAACCAGGACUUUUAC